This is a non-coding RNA of Mycena crocata, 94 nucleotides long. Lineage: Eukaryota; Fungi; Basidiomycota; Agaricomycetes; Agaricales; Mycenaceae. The record is from the annotation of a GenBank genome assembly.
UCGGACGUCGUGCACGGUGCACACCUGCCCUUCUUGCUCGGGAGGAAGCUUUGGAGUCAAGCAGGUGGCCUGGGUUCAACUCCCAGCGUCCGGA